The sequence is a transfer RNA, 73 nucleotides long. It matches the Rfam family "tRNA". From Rfam's summary of the family: Transfer RNA (tRNA) molecules are approximately 80 nucleotides in length. Their secondary structure includes four short double-helical elements and three loops (D, anti-codon, and T loops). The record is from Rfam.
GCGCCCGUAGCUCAGUGGAUAGAGCGUCUGACUACGGAUCAGAAGGCCGGGGGUUCGAAUCCCUUCGGGCGCG